CCGCGCCGUGCCCGGCCGGCGCCCGGCGCAGCGCCCGCCCCCUGGCACCGCUCCCCGUCGGCCAGGGACGGCGCAGAGAGGCAAGGGCGCGGAGCCUCUCUCACACGGGCGGGAUCACGCACACGUCCGGCAGCUCCGCAGCCGAGAAAAGCGCGGCGGGGACCGCAGCCCGACGGGUCUCCGCCCGGAAGGGAGGGUGAUUGGGGCUGCGGCACCCCCAGAGCACAGGGACACGGACGCGGACAGGAGCAGGGCGAGGCGCUGCCGUCGCAUUCCAGCGGGUCUACUUUGCUUCCCCUCGCUCCCUCCGCCGUCUGCGAGGCGGAGGAACACUGGCGCGUGAAACCGAGUAACACUAGCGCGUGAGGCCGGGACUACUUUAUGCCCUAGAGCUGCGGCGGCGCUGGAGCGGCGGCACAACGAACGCUGGGCCGGGAAGGGGCCGGAGCGGCUGGGAGAGGGGGGGAAAGCAGUGUGGAAAAAUGAAGUUAUGACUAGUACCCCGCGUGUAGACCGAAGAGCAGUGAUCUUGGCCUUUCCCGAAGCAGAGGCAGCAGGCGUCCCUUAUCAGCAGGAAUUGGCUGCUUGGCUGAUGUAAUGACAGAAUGCAAGAAUUCACACAGCAAGCAGAGAAUAGGGAGAAGGGCUGAGGCACUCUUAAGCUACUUUUGUAAUUUUGAGCUAUUCCAGAAUUGGAGGUGGACCUUGUAUAAAUCAAAAGAGUGGUGGAGAUAACUGUAUUACAGGUUUUUGCCAACAAAGAGAGCAGUCUGUCUUUCUACACAAGCUGAAAGAACAGUUGAAAGACUACAUUUAUAACCCUCCAGAUUUAAAAACAGUUAACCCCAGAGUUCCACAGUAUCUUUUAUCUGAAACCUUUAAAUAAUAUUCUGUAAGCUACUGAUUUAUGAAUUAACUGAUCUGUAUCACAUGAAGGACUGGAGAUGUUUAAAAAUAAACCUGUCCUCUGCUGGAAUGGAA
Long non-coding RNA from Corapipo altera (White-ruffed manakin), 981 nucleotides. RefSeq lists it as uncharacterized. The transcript has 3 exons. NCBI's taxonomy places the organism in Eukaryota, Metazoa, Chordata, Aves, Passeriformes, Pipridae. The record is from RefSeq and is a predicted model, not a curated record.